Molecule: long non-coding RNA, 298 nt
Organism: Dromaius novaehollandiae (emu)
Lineage: Eukaryota; Metazoa; Chordata; Aves; Casuariiformes; Dromaiidae
Exons: 3
Source: RefSeq, a predicted model, not a curated record
UACGUCGGCAGCAGGAGUGAAGCAGGAGGAAGACAGGGACUUUCCUUCGUUUUCUGAGAGCCUGCCUGCCUUGACGGCAUGCGUGAGUGCAGAACCAGCAGUGAAACGGCAGGUGUCCGCAGAUGCGAGAGAGAAGCGUGCAGGACACGAGGCUGCUGCCACACGAACAGAUACAGAUUUCCAGUACGACGGACAGGUGACUGUGUUAAAGACCCGUGAAGAUGUUAGUGUAAAGGGAGCUGUUAUUCCCAAAUGAGUGCAGGAGGGAGACUGCAGAGAGUAGCAGAUUCCAGAUAUA